GGGGGUCUGAGACUUUGUUCGCACGGUGGAUGUGGUCGGGCGGAGACUCGGCCGCACGAGUUCCGACGGUGUUCAGUUUGUGGCAGAGUAAAUUACUGUUCAAGAGGAUGCCAAGCGCAGGACUGGAAAGUCCGGCAUAAAGAGGAGUGUACGGCCGUUCAGCGGUGGCGGGAUGAGGCUGCUAACAAUGCCGGCGGCAUGUUUGAUAUUGUAGAAGAGGUUGAGGACGCCAACAUCGUGGGUAUUGUAUAAAAUCAUAACAGCG
Molecule: unclassified non-coding RNA, 265 nt
Filed under: Hevea brasiliensis (rubber tree)
Lineage: Eukaryota; Viridiplantae; Streptophyta; Magnoliopsida; Malpighiales; Euphorbiaceae
Source: RNAcentral